This 440-nucleotide ribosomal RNA is filed under the name uncultured bacterium. RNAcentral describes it as "partial 16S ribosomal RNA". It matches the Rfam family "Bacterial small subunit ribosomal RNA", at positions 338 to 795 of the family's 1533-position model. The record is from RNAcentral.
CCUACGGGAGGCAGCAGUGGGGAAUAUUGCACAAUGGGGGGAACCCUGAUGCAGCGACGCCGCGUGAGUGAAGAAGUAUUUCGGUAUGUAAAGCUCUAUCAGCCGGGAAGAAAAUGACGGUACCUGACUAAGAAGCCCCGGCUAACUACGUGCCAGCAGCCGCGGUAAUACGGAGGGGGCAAGCGUUAUCCGGAUUUACUGGGUGUAAAGGGAGCGUAGGCGGGAGGGCAAGUCGGAAGUGAAAUGCCGGGGCCCAACUGCAGGACUGCAUUGGAAACUGCCAGGUUAGAGUGCUGUAGAGGUAGGCGGAAUUCGUGGUGUAGCGGUGAAAUGCGUAGAUAUCAGGAAGAACACCGAUGGCGAAGGCGGCUUACUGGACAGUAACUGACGUUGAGGCUCGAAAGCGUGGGGAGCAAACAGGAUUAGAUACCCGGGUAGUC